UCAAAUCAUUCCAUUCAUUUCAUUUCACUCCAUCAAUAAACCAACCAAUCUCCAAGUCCACUUUGUUUUUUUUCCUCUUUAAAGAAAAACAAAAGAAAAAUACAUUCCUCCAUUUCCUCGUGAAGCGUCUGGAUCGAGAGUCUAGAGGCUAACUCUAGACGACGGCGUAGAGGAUGAUCUCCGCGGUGUCGGCGGCGGCCCGGGGCAUCCUCUUCGCGGCGAAGCCCGCGCAGCCGCCGCCGCCGCCGUCGGCCGAACCGGCGGCGGCGGAGGAAGACGGCGAAGAGGAGGAGGACGGCGGCGGGUGGUAGUACAUCCUCGCCGUCUGCGGGCAGUGGGAGUGGAACCGCGCGGCGAUGCGCACCCCCAUGUCGAGCAGCUCCACGUACUUCCCCAUCGAUCUAUAUUCCCCUUCUUCCUCUCGGAUCUCCUUCCCUGCCAAAUAAAAUCAACGAAUCCCUCCCUGGCCUGCUCCUCCUACGAAUCAGCAGCUGUGGAUGCGAGCGGUGGGUGGCGCUAUUGCCUUGCUGUGGUUGCUUCGUGGAAGGAGGUGUCCCACGAGCUGGGAGCUGCCAUGGGAGGCGGAGGCGGA
Molecule: unclassified non-coding RNA, 592 nt
Filed under: Hevea brasiliensis (rubber tree)
Lineage: Eukaryota; Viridiplantae; Streptophyta; Magnoliopsida; Malpighiales; Euphorbiaceae
Source: RNAcentral